ACGUAGGGACCAAGCGUUGUUCGGAUUUACUGGGCGUAAAGGGCGCGUAGGCGGCAAUUCAAGUCAUCUGUGAAAUCUCCGGGCUUAACUCGGAACGGUCAGAUGAUACUGCUUUGCUCGAGUGCGGAAGGGGCAAUCGGAAUUCUUGGUGUAGCGGUGAAAUGCGUAGAUAUCGAGAGGAACACCUGAGGUGAAGGCGAGUUGCUAGGCUGACACUGACGCUGAGGCGCGAAAGCUAGGGUAGCAAACGGGA
Molecule: ribosomal RNA, 253 nt
Filed under: uncultured prokaryote
Description: partial 16S ribosomal RNA
Rfam family: Bacterial small subunit ribosomal RNA
Source: RNAcentral